Molecule: ribosomal RNA, 497 nt
Filed under: uncultured bacterium
Lineage: Bacteria
Description: partial 16S ribosomal RNA
Rfam family: Bacterial small subunit ribosomal RNA
Source: RNAcentral
GAUGAACGCUGGCGGCGUGCCUAAUACAUGCAAGUCGAGCGAACGGACGAGAAGCUUGCUUCUCUGAUGUUAGCGGCGGACGGGUGUGUAACAUGUGGAUAACCUACCUAUAAGACUGGGAUCACUUCGGGAAACCGGCGCUAAUACCGGAUAAUAUUUUGAACCGCAUGGUUCAAAAGUGAAAGACGGUCUUGCUGUCACUUAUAGAUGGAUCCGCGCUGCAUUAGCUAGUUGGUAAGGUAACGGCCUAUCAAGGCAACGAUGCAUAGCCGACCGGAGAGGGUGAUAGGCCACACGAGAGCGUGAACGCGGUCCAUACGCCUACGAGACGCAGCAGUAGGGAAUCGGACGCAGUAGGCGGGAGCCUGACGGAACAGCGCGACGUGAGUGAUGGAGGUGUUCGGAUCGGAAAACUCUGUUAUUAGUGAAGAACAUAUGUGUAAGGAGCUGUGCACAUCUUGACGGUACCUAAUCAGAAAGCCACGGCUAACUACGUG